GAUGAACGCUGGCGGCGUGCCUAAUACAUGCAAGUCGAGCGAACAGACGAGGAGCUUGCUCCUCUGACGUUAGCGGCGGACGGGUGAGUAACACGUGGAUAACCUACCUAUAAGACUGGGAUAACUUCGGGAAACCGGAGCUAAUACCGGAUAACAUGUUGAACCGCAUGGUUCAACAGUGAAAGACGGUCUUGCUGUCACUUAUAGAUGGAUCCGCGCCGCAUUAGCUAGUUGGUAAGGUAACGGCUUACCAAGGCAACGAUGCGUAGCCGACCUGAGAGGAUGAUCGGCCACACUGGAACUGAGACACGGUCCAGACUCCUACGGGAGGCAGCAGUAGGGAAUAUUCCGCAAUGGGCGAAAGCCUGACGGAGCAACGCCGCGUGAGUGAAGAAGGUCUUCGGAUCGUAAAACUCUGUUAUUAGGGAAGAACAAAUGUGUAAGUAACUAUGCACGUCUUGACGGUACCUAAUCAGAAAGCCACGGCUAACUACGUG
RNAcentral lists this ribosomal RNA (497 nucleotides) under uncultured bacterium. RNAcentral's name for it is "partial 16S ribosomal RNA". It matches the Rfam family "Bacterial small subunit ribosomal RNA", at positions 28 to 507 of the family's 1533-position model. The record is from RNAcentral.